This 1166-nucleotide ribosomal RNA is filed under the name uncultured Bacteroides sp. RNAcentral describes it as "bacterial SSU rRNA". It matches the Rfam family "Bacterial small subunit ribosomal RNA", at positions 10 to 1176 of the family's 1533-position model. The record is from RNAcentral. Lineage: Bacteria; Pseudomonadati; Bacteroidota; Bacteroidia; Bacteroidales; Bacteroidaceae.
AGUUUGAUCCUGGCUCAGGAUGAACGCUAGCUACAGGCUUAACACAUGCAAGUCGAGGGGCAGCAUGACCUAGCAAUAGGUUGAUGGCGACCGGCGCACGGGUGAGUAACACGUAUCCAACCUGCCGAUUAUUCCGGGAUAGCCUUUCGAAAGAAAGAUUAAUACUGGAUAGCAUAACGAGAAGGCAUCUUCUUGUUAUUAAAGAAUUUCGAUAAUCGAUGGGGAUGCGUUCCAUUGGUUUGUUGGCGGGGUAACGGCCCACCAAGACAUCGAUGGAUAGGGGUUCUGAGAGGAAGGUCCCCCACAUUGGAACUGAGACACGGUCCAAACUCCUACGGGAGGCAGCAGUGAGGAAUAUUGGUCAAUGGACGAGAGUCUGAACCAGCCAAGUAGCGUGAAGGAUGACUGCCCUAUGGGUUGUAAACUUCUUUUAUAUGGGAAUAAAGUGGGCCACGUGUGGCUUUUUGUAUGUACCAUACGAAUAAGGAUCGGCUAACUCCGUGCCAGCAGCCGCGGUAAUACGGAGGAUCCAAGCGUUAUCCGGAUUUAUUGGGUUUAAAGGGAGCGUAGGCGGAUUAUUAAGUCAGUUGUGAAAGUUUGCGGCUCAACCGUAAAAUUGCAGUUGAUACUGGUAGUCUUGAGUGCAGCAGAGGUAGGCGGAAUUCGUGGUGUAGCGGUGAAAUGCUUAGAUAUCACGAAGAACUCCGAUUGCGAAGGCAGCUUACUGGACUGUAACUGACGCUGAUGCUCGAAAGUGUGGGUAUCAAACAGGAUUAGAUACCCUGGUAGUCCACACAGUAAACGAUGAAUACUCGCUGUUUGCGAUAUACAGCAAGCGGCCAAGCGAAAGCAUUAAGUAUUCCACCUGGGGAGUACGCCGGCAACGGUGAAACUCAAAGGAAUUGACGGGGGCCCGCACAAGCGGAGGAACAUGUGGUUUAAUUCGAUGAUACGCGAGGAACCUUACCCGGGCUUAAAUUGCAACUGACGGAUUUGGAAACAGAUCUUCCUUCGGGCAGUUGUGAAGGUGCUGCAUGGUUGUCGUCAGCUCGUGCCGUGAGGUGUCGGCUUAAGUGCCAUAACGAGCGCAACCCUUAUCUUUAGUUACUAACAGGUCAUGCUGAGGACUCUAGAGAGACUGCCGUCGUAAGAUGUGAGGAAGGUGG